This 1265-nucleotide long non-coding RNA is filed under the name Homo sapiens (human). RNAcentral describes it as "HSALNT0303482". Lineage: Eukaryota; Metazoa; Chordata; Mammalia; Primates; Hominidae. The record is from RNAcentral.
UUUUUUUUUUUUUUUUUUUUUUUUUUUAAAGAAAAUUAGGAAAGAGAAUUUAAACGAUUCCUCCAAACCAUACAUUUAUAAAUAUUGUCAUAUUUAAAAUGCUUGAAAGGCGUGAAUUCUCCAUUAAUGGAAAAGCAGUUUGCUAUUGGCAACAGAAAAAAACUCAGCGAUAAUUUACCAAAUGCUUUAAAAUUUAAAAGCUAUACUGUUUGGAUUCACACUUGCGCAGUAAUCUUGUCAUUACAACAACUGCAAAUUGCUUUGUACUCACCUUCUCUCAAGUAAAAUCUAAAGAAAACCCCACCGUAUCCAAUGUUUGUAAUGUUUACUUCAAGUGAAUCUAAAAAAUUUCUAAAUUUAGUUUAUGGUAAAUACCUCAAAAUACCUAAAAAUAGGUACGUAUCAACCACUUAAGGGUGUGAAAAUUGUUUCAGAUUCACUGCUUUAAAGGGUCUUCAAAUAUAUUUUCUUUAACAGAACCUUACUUCAUUCCAAAUUAUUAUCAGAUAUUUCAAAAUAAAAAAAAAGUAUCAGUUCUAUACCAAGAUAAAGGUGUUACUCAAUACCUGAAGGUUCACAUUUUAAAUUUAUUUUUUAGUUUUUCUUUUUUGUCAACAAAUGAUUGAUGAAAUAAUGCAACACCCUUAAAUUCCAGAAAAUGGCAUGGUUUUUCCAACCUCCUGUGGAUAUGGUGCAUGAUCAAUCUAUUAUAUAGGAGCCUGGCUAAUUUUUAAUUUUUUUUUUUUUUUUUUUGAGAGGGAGUUUCACUCUGUCACCAAGGCUAGAGUGCAGUGGCACGAUCUCGGCUCACUGCAACCUCUACCUCCCAGGUUCAAGCGAUUCUCCUGCCUCCACCUCCCAAGUAGCUGGUAUUACAGGCAUGCGCCACCAUGCCCAGUUAAUUUUUGUAUUUUUAGUAGAGGUGGGGUUUCGCUAUGUUGGCCAGGCUGGUCUCAAACUCCUGACCUCAAGCGAUCUGCCCGCCUCAGCCUCCCAAAGUGCUGGGAUUACAGGCAUGAACCACUGCGCCUGGCUAAUUUUUACAUUUUGUGUACAGACAGAGUCUUGCUAUGUUGCCCAGGCUAGUCUUGAACUCCUGGCCUCAAGGUAUCCUCCUGUCUUACUCUGUCACCCAGGCUGGAGUAUAUUGGCUGGCUGUUCACAGGUGCAACCAUAAUGUACUACAGCCUUGUGCCCCUGGGCUUAAGUGAUCCUCCCACCUCAGCCUCUUGAGUAGCUGUGACUACAGGUGCAUGCUGCCUCAC